UACGUAGGGUGCAGGCGUUAUUCGGAAUUACUGGGCGUAAAGCGUGCGCAGGCGGUUUGCUAAGUCAGGUGUGAAAUCCCCGGGCUUAACCUGGGAACUGCGCUUGUAACUGGCAAGCUAGAGUGUGGCAGAGGGGGGUGGAAUUCCAGGUGUAGCAGUGAAAUGCGUAGAGAUCUGGAGGAACACCGAUGGCGAAGGCAGCCCCCUGGGCUAACACUGACGCUCAUGCACGAAAGCGUGGGGAGCAAAAGGG
RNAcentral lists this ribosomal RNA (253 nucleotides) under uncultured bacterium. Its description in RNAcentral is "partial 16S ribosomal RNA". It matches the Rfam family "Bacterial small subunit ribosomal RNA", at positions 524 to 776 of the family's 1533-position model. The record is from RNAcentral.